GGGAAUUUUUCGCAAUGGGCGAAAGCCUGACGAAGCAACGCCGCGUGGAGGAUGAAGGCCCUAGCGGUCGUAAACUCCUGUCUAGCGGGACGAAAGUCAAUGGGGUGAAUAAUCCCGUUGGUUGACUGUACCGCUGGAGGAAGCUCCGGCAAACUCCGUGCCAGCAGCCGCGGUCAUACGGGGGGGGCAAGCGUUGUUCGGAAUUACUGGGCGUAAAGGGCGCGUAGGCGGUUUGCUAAGUUGGAUGUGAAAACUCUGGGCUCAACCCAGAGCCUGCAUCCAAAACUGGCUGGCUAGAGUUCUGGAGGGGGAAGCGGAAUUCCUGGUGUAGCGGUGAAAUGCGUAGAUAUCAGGAGGAACACCGGUGGCGAAGGCGGCUUCCUGGACAGAAACUGACGCUGAGGCGCGAAAGCUAGGGAAGCAA
Molecule: ribosomal RNA, 424 nt
Filed under: uncultured bacterium
Lineage: Bacteria
Description: bacterial SSU rRNA
Rfam family: Bacterial small subunit ribosomal RNA
Source: RNAcentral